UAGCUUAGGGUUUUUAGAACCCUUAACAACAUAUAUAUAGGCAAUUAAAAUAAGGUUCAAUCGCUAAACGCUAGUCUCAGAAUCUGAACGCUAUUUGCUGCGAUUGCAUUUUGUAAACAAAACGCAUUUUGUCUUCUUCUCCACCUUUCCCGUGUCUCGAGCUCAGGGACUGUAACCGCGGCUCGGCCUGGCCUUCUCUGUCGCUUCACCGCAUCUGCUCGCCCUCGUCUCUCCCGCGUCCAAGCCGGAGCUUCUGGUCUCGCCGUCGCGUCUGCUCAUCUUCUCUCCUCGUCGGAGCUGCUGUUCGAACCGAGAGGACACCAUCGAGCAUUCAGAUUCUUGAAGUGGCCGAUUCAGGCUGGUCGGGCUGAGGCUUAGGCCGAGGGAGCUGAAUCGAGCAGACCGGUUCGAGUUCAGUGGUCGCUUUGUUCCUCACGAACCAAAGCUUGAGGUUUGGGUCGAGGAAGAUGAAACGAGCAAGCCACAUAUGUGCUCAUCGAUCGCUUUGAACUCUCGGAUCGUCUAGACCGACGUUUGGAAAGAGCUGGAAGGAUCGAGCUCUCCGUCUUCUUCACAUCGAACGCUUUCAAGCUUUCGAUUCAUCCAUGGCCAUCUUCUGCACAUUUGCACCUUUGGUCCCUGCUCUUCUAACAAUUUACAGUUUGACCCCAAAACUUCUAUCUUGUGCAGUUUGGUCCUUGAUUUCUCCCCAAAACUCCUAAUUGUGCAUUCCAGCCCCUAUAUAUGCAAUAUGUAAAAAUGCAACACCUAACGACACCUAAAUGCAAUUUUUAGGCACUAAAAUGACCAAAAUCAAUAGCUAAAAACAUGUAAAAAUACUAUACAUCAUUAAGUUGCUUUUGGGACCACAAGGAGGAAUCUCUCCAUUUUGUCCUCUUGUGCAUUAGGUUUAAAGAUGUCUCUACUAUAAAGAGAGGCUGAGAACGUGAGAGAGAGAUUGAACCACACAAAGAGCUUAGAAGGGUGAGAGAAACAUGUGAGCUUAAGCCUAGCUUUGGGUUUUCUCAUUAGAACAUAGAAAGAUACAUUAGAGUGAGUUCAUGAGUGAUAUGAUGAGUGAAUCACUGGUAUCAUUGUAACUAUGUUAUACCUUCUAGUGGAUUCCGAGCUGUAGUCUCGGGGAGAUGUAGUGACCCUGGGGAGAUGUAGUGACCCUCGUUAACGGGUGCGAACUUCUUAAAUCUUGUGUGUGCUCCCAUCUUCUCCUUCUCUCUAAUCUCCUUUUCCAAACUCUCUAUACUUUGCUUUUCUACAACUCUGUUUUUACAGUAUUCUAUUUUUGGACUUCAAGCAACUUCUAUCUUGGUUUGUUGUGGGUUUAUGCUGAGACAAAGUGAUGUCUUUAAGCCCUGAAUCCUAACAUAGAUGAAAUCGUUGGAUGUUCUCAUGCGCUUCCAAUCAAUAGAAGAGCAUGAGGAGCUACUUUGUAACUUGUGAGCGAGUACAGCAUGGUGAAACCGCCCAAAGAUCUCAAGAGAUGAUCGAAUGCUCUGGUCGUUUUUAAAGGAGAAGGGAAGGAGGGUUUUGUGGUUUUGGGUGUGGGAAAUGAGAUUAUGAUGUUGGAUCCGAAGAAAAGUGAAGAACGUAGAGAGCUUGAAGCUGUGGACGCCAUUGCAACUCUGCUUCCUCUUCUUUGUGAGACAGAGAGGAUGUUGGAAAAGCUGUACUAGGAAGCUAUUCAAGAGUACUUUCUGACUUGUAACAUAUUUGCUUGGAUUGAUCAUGUUCCCUACGUACACAAAAACAUGAAAGAUAGUGAAAAAGUUGUUAUAUGCUUUCGACUUAACUUCUAAGUUACGUUUUUGUUAUGUAAUGAGAGUUUCUUUGGUUGAGCCCAGCUGUAGAAAAUCCCAAGGGUUUUUUUUUUUUGGUAAA
Molecule: long non-coding RNA, 1896 nt
Organism: Brassica oleracea var. oleracea
Lineage: Eukaryota; Viridiplantae; Streptophyta; Magnoliopsida; Brassicales; Brassicaceae
Exons: 4
Source: RefSeq, a predicted model, not a curated record